Molecule: ribosomal RNA, 446 nt
Filed under: uncultured bacterium
Lineage: Bacteria
Description: partial 16S ribosomal RNA
Rfam family: Bacterial small subunit ribosomal RNA
Source: RNAcentral
CCUACGGGAGGCAGCAGUCGAGAAUCAUUCACAAUGGGGGAAACCCUGAUGGUGCGACGCCGCGUGGGGGAAUGAAGGUCUUCGGAUUGUAAACCCCUGUCAUGUGGGAGCAAAUUAAAAAGAUAGUACCACAAGAGGAAGAGACGGCUAACUCUGUGCCAGCAGCCGCGGUAAUACAGAGGUCUCAAGCGUUGUUCGGAAUCACUGGGCGUAAGGCGUGCGUAGGCUGUGUCGUAAGUCGUGUGUGAAAGGCGCGGGCUCAACCCGCGGACGGCACAUGAUACUGCGAGACUAGAGUAAUGGAGGGGGAACCGGAAUUCUCGGUGUAGCAGUGAAAUGCGUAGAUAUCGAGAGGAACACUCGUGGCGAAGGCGGGUUCCUGGACAUUAACUGACGCUGAGGCACGAAGGCCAGGGGAGCGAAAGGGAUUAGAUACCCGAGUAGUC